RNAcentral lists this transfer RNA (60 nucleotides) under Pyrocoelia rufa. Its description in RNAcentral is "tRNA-Arg". Lineage: Eukaryota; Metazoa; Arthropoda; Insecta; Coleoptera; Lampyridae. The record is from RNAcentral.
AAGUAAGAAACAAAUUUUGUAAUUAGUUUCGACCUAAUCUUUGGCCCACGCCCUUAUUUU